CUAGAAGUAGAUUAAAUAAAUAUAAAACAAAAAUCUGGGAGACAUAGACUUUACUCUGAAAAAAAUAAAAAAUAAAAAUAGUGAAAAAAAAAGCAUAAAAAAAAUAAAAUAUAAACAAAUAUCUAUUACUUUUAAAAUAAAUGAAUCAUAAACAAAAUUAACCUCAUUUGUUUUAAAAUAAAAUAUAAACAAAUAUCAAUUACUUUUCUCCUACUUAAUGAUUGAAUUUUUCUAAAAUACCUUUUUUUUUUGUAUUUCUAAUGAACCAAUUUAUUAUGUAUCAAGUAUAAUUCUUAAUUUCUUUUAUUAAAAUUGUAUAAAUUAAAUAUGAUAAAUAAUUUUUUUAAUAUAUAUAUAUAUAAUUUAUUUAAUUUAUAUUUAUAUUUUAUUAUAAAACCAAAAGAAGAGUGAGAAAGCAAAGGACAUGUAGAUGAAGCUAGGUGCAUAUAUAAAUGGGAACAGCAACAAAUUAAACCAGAAUAAGUAAAGGGACAUGUGCCCCCACCAAGACAAUGUAGGUGACAUGAUAUAUGAGGGAAAAAAUAGCAUAUAUUUGCAAUUUUAGGAGCAAGCAUGCUUAGGUAUCACAGAUAUGUAAAGUUGAUGCAUGGUUCUCUCUUUUAUUUUUUAUUUUCUUAAAGAUUUGCUUUUUACUGUUUUGGUUCAUAUGAAACUACAGCCAAUUUUAAUGUUCUCUUGUUCUAUGUGAGUUUUUUUUAUGUAUUGUCACACCAAUAUGCUUCCCUUUUUAUAUAUAUGUUUGGUUGGUUGUUGGUUAAUUAAUUAUGGAAACUUACAAGUCAGAGAAUCAAAUAAUAUACGUUACAAGGGUAUACCUCUUAGCUAAUAUGCUUACACUUGAAGCUUGAUAUAUUGAGAGAUAAUUGAAAGGGUAAAAUGGGAUUUUAAUUUCUUUACAUAAAAAUAUAUACUCUCACUAUAAGGGUUGAUCAUUAUCCAAU
This 962-nucleotide long non-coding RNA is filed under the name Cicer arietinum (chickpea). Its description in RNAcentral is "long non-coding RNA (CARI_LNC001288)". Lineage: Eukaryota; Viridiplantae; Streptophyta; Magnoliopsida; Fabales; Fabaceae. The record is from RNAcentral.